GGGCCAGUGGUCUAAUGGUUAGGAUUGCUGCCUUCCAAGCAGCAGGUUCGGGUUCAAUUCCCGGCUGACUCA
Molecule: transfer RNA, 72 nt
Rfam family: tRNA
About the family: Transfer RNA (tRNA) molecules are approximately 80 nucleotides in length. Their secondary structure includes four short double-helical elements and three loops (D, anti-codon, and T loops).
Source: Rfam